This 1122-nucleotide long non-coding RNA is filed under the name Homo sapiens (human). Its description in RNAcentral is "SALL1 antisense RNA 1". Lineage: Eukaryota; Metazoa; Chordata; Mammalia; Primates; Hominidae. The record is from RNAcentral.
CCCGCCCACGGCUCGGCCUCCCUCCCGCCUGGCUCGGCGCUCCUCCGCCCCGAGUUCUCCAUCCCCUGGAUCCCGGGCUCGCGGGGGCGCGGAGAAGAGGAUCCAGGAAAGGGGCAAACAUGGGACCCAGGCCUGGCCCACUGGACCAUCCCUUGGCCACGAUGAUUGGCUUAGGGGAGGUCAUGUGAUCCAACUUAAGCCAGUGAAACUCAGCUCUGGAGCUUCUGUUGAAACUAUAGCUGAAAGACCAGCUUGUCAGUCCUGGUAGCCGUUUUUGCCAUAUUUGCUAUCCUGAGAGGGGAAUUUGCAUGAGAAUGAAGUUGUUCCAGAAGAAAGCAUACAUGAGAGAUGGAGAAGUUGAGAAAUCUGCCCCUGCAUAAUUCAGUUAAGAGAGGGCCAUUGGCAAGGAACUGAGGUGGCCUUCGAUCAACAGCCCACAAGGAAUGGAAUCCUGCCAAUAACAAUCAAAUGGUCCGAGGCAUCCAAGCAUGGCCUAUUGCCUGUGUCUUUAUUCUGAACAGAACAGGGCAGCCUUGGGAAAAUGCUGGCUGCUCAGCUAGCUCACUUAAAAAAAAUCACGUAAGCACUCCCUCUGCUCCUCUUAUUGGUGUUCAAGGCUUGAAGAGAGCUUUAGGGAAGGGUGUCUAAUGGAUCACAUGACUGUACCUACUGGUCCUUUUCCUGCCUUGUUAAUUACAAGGUGUUAUGAUCUUCACCACAGAUUGAUUACAUAAAGGGGAUCAUUUCUUCAUCCCCACCAUUUGCCAUGUAACUUUGUCAUGCCCUGUAUCUCUGACUCUGGCCUCUGUCAUUGACUUGCUGUGCCAAUGUUAGCAAAUGUGAAGCACACACAGGCUUGAAUAGCACUGUGCAACGGGACUUGUUAACACUUACCUUCUACUGUUGCUACAUGAACAUGCCCAGGCUAGCCUGAUGGAUGAUGAGAGACAUGUGGAAUAGAGCAGAGUCACCACAUUCAUCUCAGCUGAGACCUUUCUAGAUGGGUCAACAGCCCUCUACCCCCAGACGUGUGAGCCAGCCCAGCCAAGAUCAGCCAAGUCCAACCUGAAUAAUUGAACACUGAGGUCUUGUUGCAGAAUAAAAGUGUAUUAUUGUAACCCA